GUGCUCACUUCAGCAGGACAUAUACUAAAAUUGAAACAAUACAGAAAAGAUUAGUAUGGCCCCUGAUCAAGGAUGAUACCCAUAUUUGCGAAGCAUUUCAUAUUUUG
Meriones unguiculatus (Mongolian gerbil) is the source of this 107-nucleotide small nuclear RNA. The record is from Ensembl. NCBI's taxonomy places the organism in Eukaryota, Metazoa, Chordata, Mammalia, Rodentia, Muridae.